RNAcentral lists this ribosomal RNA (465 nucleotides) under uncultured bacterium. Its description in RNAcentral is "bacterial SSU rRNA". It matches the Rfam family "Bacterial small subunit ribosomal RNA", at positions 338 to 795 of the family's 1533-position model. The record is from RNAcentral.
CCUACGGGUGGCUGCAGUAGGGAAUCUUCCGCAUUGGACGAAAGUCUGACGGAGCAACGCCGCGUGAGCGAAGAAGGUCUUCGGAUCGUAAAGCUCUGUUGUUAGGGAAGAACAAGUACGGGAGGAAAUGACCGUACCUUGACGGUACCUAACGAGGAAGCCACGGCUAACUACGUGCCAGCAGCCGCGGUAAUACGUAGGUGGCAAGCGUUGUCCGGAAUUAUUGGGCGUAAAGCGCGCGCAGGCGGUCUUUUAAGUCUGAUGUGAAAUCUUACGGCUCAACCGCAAGCGGUCAUUGGAAACUGGGAGACGUGAGUGCAGGAGAGGAAAGCUGAAUUCCACGUGUAGCGGUGAAAUUCUUAGGGCUGUGGAGGAAAACGAGUGGCGAAGGCUGCUUUCUGGUCUGUAACUGACGCUGAGGCGCGAAAGCGUGGGGAGCAAACAGGAUUAGAUUCCCGGGUAGUC